GGUGGGGAGCGCCGAGUCAGAAGAGAGCUAAAAUGGCGGAGGUUGGGAGUCCCUGCUUUGACUCUGUUUGCAAACUCUUGUUUCAUUGUUUAAGCGAUUAAAUCUCUCGAGUAGACGCUGUCUCUUUAGAUGCGAGGGCAAAAUAGCACUUUAUGGACUUCCACAGAGGACAUCAUGUUUAAUACGGUUCCGGAAAAAUCCAGUCAGAAGUUGUUCACGGAGUUUUCACAAUAACUGCUUCUCAUGAACCGAAGCUGGAUUUGCGCGACGUCUCCUCUUGAAAGUUGGAUUACUGUGCACUUCUGGAUCACAGACUAUUCGCAGCUGUACACAUCCUUCUACACUGUAUGCAAACAUGCAACAUCAUUACACACAGUACAAGGAGUCAGACUGGCAUAUGAGGAGCAAAGGAACCCAGGCAGUAGCAUCGUUUCACAAUGUUUCCAUCAUCAUCAUCAGUGGAUGCCUUUGCCGUCCGUAGCCUGAGAUUUUAGAUUUGCAGCAAAAAAAAUUGAUUUUCUCAUUUAUUGGAAUGCUGUGCAGGUAUUUGUACCUUGCAGCCAUCCAUUACAAUGUCACCAAGCCGUAACAAAAGCAGGAGAGGGAAAGUACAAGGCUAUGUUCCCAAAACACAAAUGACAUACCGUAAGCAGUAAUGUUUUAUUUCAAAUACAUUCAUAAUUAAAAACUUAAUGUAUGAAGCAGGGAAAUAAAUUAUCAAAACAAAAGAUUUAUUGACUGCAAUAUUUCUACAGUUAUGUGGAGGAUGUGAUCAGGCUUGUGUUUGAUGAGGUAUUUGAAGAUAAGCUGAAGGAAACCCCGAUUCCAAUGGACCUGGCAUCACAGUUUGAGAGACCUUCAAAGGAGGACGUGAUUGCAUGCCAUCUUCAGUGCAGGGGUCGUCGAAAGCCAAAAUUGUGACCGAUCUGAUCAGGAAGCUCCAAGCGUAUCUGGAGAACAACACACGACAGGAUGAUAACCUUAUAGUGUCGUCUUAGGCUAUGUUUACAUUAAUGCGUUUAUCCUUUAAAACGCGUUACUUUUGCUACGUUUACGCCUUUCAUCUACACUACAUCACCGUUUUCGACCCUCAUAAACGGAUUCGUUCGCAAACGCUGAAGACCCCGUUUUAGUUUGAGAACUCAGACGUUGCUCUGAGUGUAAAUGAACGUAGACGGAGUCUUAUGUAAACGAACAGCUGACGUUAACGUGACAGCGCAUCAUUUUCAAAGUAAAAAUUAUUUUAUUCAUGUAAAUGUUGGUUUGCAACUGAGGUUUUGCCAAAAAUAGUAAACAUCUACCAACCAGCUAUUAUAAACGCUAUAUCGGAUAGUUUUAACAUGUAUCCUUAUAGAUAAUGUCUGUUUUAUAUGAAUGUUUGAGUAUUGUUGGGUUUAAUGUGUUUAUGUUUUGUUUAAAUGUAGUUAGCUUAUGAAAGAUAGACUGUAAUUUUAAAUGCCAUAUAGGCGUUGCAAAGGCCAAUAUGAAGGGAGAAUUGUAAUGGGUCAGACAUUAUUUUCCAGUUUAAUGUAAGUUUUGU
Paramisgurnus dabryanus is the source of this 1540-nucleotide non-coding RNA. The record is from RefSeq and is a predicted model, not a curated record. NCBI's taxonomy places the organism in Eukaryota, Metazoa, Chordata, Actinopteri, Cypriniformes, Cobitidae.